GGAAUAACACACCGAAAGGUGUACUAAUACCGCAUAAGACCACGGGAUCACAUGGUUCUGGGGUAAAAGAUUUAUCGGUUUGGGGUGGGCUCGCGUCCGAUUAGGUAGUUGGUGAGGUAACGGCCCACCAAGCCGACGAUCGGUAGCCGACCUGAGAGGGUGAUCGGCCACAUUGGGACUGAGACACGGCCCAAACUCCUACGGGAGGCAGCAGUGGGGAAUAUUGGGCAAUGGAGGAAACUCUGACCCAGCAACGCCGCGUGGAGGAAGAAGGCUUUCGGAUCGUAAACUCCUGUCCUUGGAGACGAGUAGAAGACGGUAUCCAAGGAGGAAGCCCCGGCUAACUACGUGCCAGCAGCCGCGGUAAUACGUAGGGGGCAAGCGUUGUCCGGAAUAAUUGGGCGUAAAGGGCGCGUAGGCGGCUCGGUAAGUCUGGAGUGAAAGUCCUGCUUUUAAGGUGGGAAUUGCUUUGGAUACUGUCGGGCUUGAGUGCAGGAGAGGUUAGUGGAAUUCCCAGUGUAGCGGUGAAAUGCGUAGAGAUUGGGAGGAACACCAGUGGCGAAGGCGACUAACUGGACUGUAACUGACGCUGAGGCGCGAAAGUGUGGGGAGCAAACAGGAUUAGAUACCCUGGUAGUCCACACUGUAAACGAUGAAUGAUAGGUGUAGGGGGUAUCGACCCCUUCUGUGCCGCAG
Molecule: ribosomal RNA, 696 nt
Filed under: uncultured bacterium
Lineage: Bacteria
Description: bacterial SSU rRNA
Rfam family: Bacterial small subunit ribosomal RNA
Source: RNAcentral